GUGAUAAAUCCCUCACUCACAGGGUAUCUGUUUCUCAACUCUCACGGUAUUAUGUCCAAAUCUCGCGGUGACGUCACGGGGUCACGUGGGUCGGCGUGGGUCACGUGGGUCGGCGCAACCAACCGAGGUUUAGUAUUGAGCCGCUGCAGUUCAGUCUCAGAGAGGGAGCAGUGGGGAAGCUGCAUGAGAGACGAGCAACAGGAGCCCCUUACCGUGUCGCAACUGCCGUGCCGAGACCGCGACGGCCGAACGUAUGUGUAGUGCGCAGCGGACGGCCGGAUCUUAUAGAUGGCGAGCUAAAGGAGCCACGGACUGACAGAUUGUCGAAUGAGUCGCAUCCCUCCUGCCAGGCUGGUAGGGGGCUCUUUGUAGCCCAGUAAAAGACUCUCACCCACUCGCUCAGCCCCUGCCCAACACACGCACACACAUCCUUCCCCUAAACACUUUCCCACUCAUUUCCCCUGGACUCAAUUCCCCAACCCAGACGUGGGUUUACAUAAACUGUGGGGGGGCAGCUGGGAUCAUCUUUUUGGUGUUCAUAAUGAACCAAGCGUAUGGGUUUUUGCUUAUUUCUGACUCUGACUUUGUUAUCUGUUGAUGAAUCUGAAUCGUGAAUAUCUGAAUGUGCAUAUAUGCAAAUGAUUGAAAAAAGUUAACUUACCGUAAUUCUUUAAUUGUCUGCCUUUAGCAGAUCGGCCGGUUCACUGUAUAUAAUAUCACUUUAUUGUUGUGGGUUUUUCAUUGCACUUUUUGCUAUAUAAAAAAUACAUGGUAUCAUUCAACCAGCAA
This is a long non-coding RNA of Solea solea (common sole), 789 nucleotides long. RefSeq lists it as uncharacterized. The record is from RefSeq and is a predicted model, not a curated record. Lineage: Eukaryota; Metazoa; Chordata; Actinopteri; Pleuronectiformes; Soleidae. The transcript has 2 exons.